GGGGUACGCUUAGAGCCCCACCGUGCGGAAGUGUUAAUAGUGGUACUUUUGGCCGAGUACAACGGUUAGUGAAUC
Molecule: non-coding RNA, 75 nt
Submitted as: unclassified sequences
Source: Rfam